RNAcentral lists this long non-coding RNA (313 nucleotides) under Oryza sativa (Asian cultivated rice). Its description in RNAcentral is "long non-coding RNA (OSAT_LNC001690)". Lineage: Eukaryota; Viridiplantae; Streptophyta; Magnoliopsida; Poales; Poaceae. The record is from RNAcentral.
GAUGGCGGUGUUGGAGUUGGUGAUGGAGGCGUUGAUGGGGAAGUGAGCGUAGACGAAGCGCAUCUUGUAGCGGUAGCCCUUGGUGACGCCGGUGAUGAGGUUCUGGACGUGGGAGAUGGCGGUGCGGAUGGCGGCCAUGGUGCGGCGGGUGCCGAACCACGCGUCCACCUGCAGCUUGCGGCCGCCCUCCAGCAGCUGGAAGUCGAGGUUGAGGUGCUUGAAGUUGCGGGUCAGCUUCCCGCGGGGGCCCUCCACCGUCACCACCUUCGCGGCGACCUGCACCGUCACCCCCUCCGGGAUCUCCAUCGUCUCG